This is a long non-coding RNA of Lagenorhynchus albirostris (white-beaked dolphin), 1926 nucleotides long. RefSeq lists it as uncharacterized. NCBI's taxonomy places the organism in Eukaryota, Metazoa, Chordata, Mammalia, Artiodactyla, Delphinidae. The transcript has 5 exons. The record is from RefSeq and is a predicted model, not a curated record.
CGGGUUUAAUGCGGGCUGGAGACCCUUGGAGUUCCUUUGGCGUCUCGAAUCCAGCGCAGCCGUGGUCCGACGGAGAUCCCUGGGAUUCGACCUGUCAGGGAUGGUGCGGCCGGACCCUGCCCUAGAUCAGAAAGUCCCGUGCGUAGCCAGCCUUUUCGGGCAGGGUCUCUGAGGCAGAGGUCUCGAGCCCCCGGCGGGGCGGAGCUCCUAGAAGCGCAGGCUCGGUCACCCACCCUACGCGUCCAGCCCGGCUUUUGGGGCCACCUCUAGGGCCACACUGAUGGUUGGGCCCAGUUUGUGUGUUUCAGAUGAAAAAUUCACAAGGGACAUGAGAUUCAUAUCUCAUGGGGAUCAAACCUCAUGUCAGUGGCACAGGAGGAAUUAGAAGCUGUGUUUCCUUUGAGACCUGAAGAUCCAGUUCUAGGUUUUCCUGCUGCUCCCAAGCUUUGGGCAAAGUAACUACACUUCUCUGAGCCUCAUAAUGGUGAUAAUACUCUUCCCACUUACCUCAUUCAGUUAAUGUAAAGGUCAAAGUCAUACAUGUUUUCUCAGUCAUUUAUUAACUGCUUGAACUAAAAACUGGACCCUAAUGUGUUGCAGAACAACUUGGGUAUUUUGGAAGCACCGUGUAAAAGUAUUAUUAGAAAAGCUUCUCUCAGCCUCCUGAAGUAACCUGCCUCCCAAGCUGCCUUAUUCCUAGGAGAAUCUUCAUCUUCACUUUAUCAUAGCCCAGGGAUCCUGAAGUGGGAUGGAAGAAGGGUAUCUGACCUGGACUGGUGGUCUUGAGACCUUCUGGAAAACUGGAAAGAAGACUUUUUUUUUUUAACUCCAUGGAGACAAAUGGAUUAAUCAGUUCACAGAUUAUCAUUAUGUUUGGUUGAGAGAGGAAGUCUGGUGACAAAAUUGAACGAGACAAAGACAGUAAGUCAGGAGAGAUUCUGAGUGUCGGGGCCAAGUUCUUGCUUUAAAUGCAGAGCGCCUGAAGAAAGUCUGGAACCUCACAGGUGGCUGGUGUUCCUGUUCGAGCUGAGUUGCUGAACAGCAGAAGAGGGUGGCACUUGGAGGUUGGAUGUGGCACACAUGAAAGGACUUGAGAUGAAGAACCAGGAAAGAAAAAUACCAUGUUAUGCCCUUAACCGUAAAAGAAGAGAGGCCAGGUCAUCUGGUAAACGUUGGCCUGUAACACAGUUCAUGGAAGGCUGCUUGGUGCCCAUUCAUCCCCAAGACAUCCACACGUGAGAAUUCACCAGUACAAAGAUGUUUAAGACUUAUUUGAGAAGGAAUCCAGAUGAUGAGUCCAUUUGCAGAGAUUGCUUCCACGAUUCUUGGGACACAUUCCACAACAGGGUUCUGGAUCUUCGUGAAUCAUCCUUUGGUGAUCUUUGGAAAGUCUAAGCUGAUGAAUGUUAUGGAGAGGAGCUUGGCCAACAUUUGCAAGUCAACAAAAUAAAGGGAACCUUUAAUGAAAAUGCGUCUGAAAGUGUCCUAAUCUUGUUUCCUUAUGUCACACCUGUCACAAAAUAAUUUCAUUUCACCCUUAAAAUAACUUUAGGGUGGUAAAUAUUAAUAUUCCAGGUAAAAGGACAAAACUUAUAAAGGUUAAAUUAUUUGCUCAAGGUCACAUUAUUAAGUAGUAAAGAUGAGUAUUUUGCCCUUCAUUAAUAAUAAUACUUGUCUAUGAUGUUAUAAAAAAUUUCAAAGUAGAUACUUCCCCAUCAACUAUCUACUGAUUUGUAGUCAGAGAUCCCUGAAUCACAGAUGAAAUAAUGUGAGGUCAUACAGUUUGUAACUGUCAGAUUCCUAACUCAAUCCAAGGUUUUCUCUACAAUAGCAUGUUGCAUCUGUAUAUGUUUCCCUUUCUAAAACUGUGUACCUCUCUUUAUUCGAUUUCUAUGUAAUUUAUAAUUACACUUACUAAGAAAUGCA